This 253-nucleotide ribosomal RNA is filed under the name uncultured bacterium. RNAcentral's name for it is "partial 16S ribosomal RNA". It matches the Rfam family "Bacterial small subunit ribosomal RNA", at positions 524 to 776 of the family's 1533-position model. The record is from RNAcentral.
UACGGGGGGGGCAAGCGUUGUUCGGAAUUACUGGGCGUAAAGGGCUCGUAGGUGGCCAACUAAGUCAGACGUGAAAUCCCUCGGCUUAACCGGGGAACUGCGUCUGAUACUGGUUGGCUGGAGUUUGGGAGAGGGAUGCGGAAUUCCAGGUGUAGCGGUGGAAUGCGUAGAGAUCGGGAGGAACAUCUGUGGCGAAGGCGGCAUCCUGGACCGGUAUUGACGCUGAGGCGCGAAAGCUAGGGGAGCAAACGGG